Cavia porcellus (domestic guinea pig) is the source of this 797-nucleotide long non-coding RNA. RefSeq lists it as uncharacterized. The transcript is spliced from 5 exons. NCBI's taxonomy places the organism in Eukaryota, Metazoa, Chordata, Mammalia, Rodentia, Caviidae. The record is from RefSeq and is a predicted model, not a curated record.
CAAGAACCUUCAAACCUCACAAAGUGACUCCCCUCCAUCCCAACCCUGGCUCAGGAUCCUUUGGCACUGCUGCUCCAGUUCCAAAUUACAGCUAAACUAUUUCAUGGGGACAAAGAAACUGGCAGCAUUGAACAUGAGAUCCAGGAAGAAAAAGCAACAGAAAGACUCAGGAAAUGAAACCAGGGCUAAAUCACAUUAGGUGUAUAAAGGUUGGGCUUUUUAUAAAACAAGAGAACAAUGCAUUGGAUGUCUGAGUGCACAGGAUGGAGAAUCAGGCCCCGGGGACGGAAUGGAGGUUUGGGUACACUGGCGCUGAUCUGCAUUGUCGGUCCUCCAGAGUUGGCAUUGUCUGUGAUAUAUCUGCUAAGAAAUGGAGUGGAAACGUCACAGAGACAGGAGUUUAGGUGUGCCAACUGUUCAUCAUCUCAAGUCCUCACCUCAGUUCUGCAAACAUCUAGACAACUUCUGAAUACCAGAAGACUUCCACAGCAAGAAUAAGCAGUCCCCUUUCUAAGCUGACAGUGGCUUUUGUGCAUAGAAUCCUUCACAUCAAAGGAAGAAGAAAUGUGUUGAUGGCACACACACCAGCUGUUUCCAGGACUGCCCUCUCCUCCCCGCCUGUCUUCUUCCAUGCAUCGAGCUGAGACCAGGGUAUUCACCAGGGAAGAGUUCCUAGAGGACACUCUGCAUCUGACCCACAGUGAACUUGGGUGGGGGCCACUAGGCAGCAUCCUGAUUGGGGACAUGACCCAGUGGCAUAUGUGGGUAAUGAGGUCUAAGGGGGGAAAUGGUUUCAA